CAAUAGAAAAGAUGAAUAGUAUUGUGAUGAAGAAUUUAACAUGUAUAUUGUUUAAGUAAAACGAACAGAAGACCGAACAAGUUACUUCCUACUUCCUUGAUCAGUCGUAUAAAUGUAAGUACAUUUAAUAUUUAGAAUACUAUAAAGUUUAAUAUAAGCUUAUCAUUGAACCAUAAAAGAUCAUAUUUGUGGCUGAUCAAAGGAAUGAAAUGAAAAGAAUAGUUACACAUAAAUACAAGAAAAUAACAAUACAAAUUCUAACAAUUAAACAUGGCGAUUGUAUCACACAGUAAUAGAACGCGGGGGAAAUAUAUAAGAAUAUAUGAGAAAGAAAUGUUAACCAAAAGCAACACAUGCCUUUUAGAAUAAACAUGAGGGAUAUAUUUUAUCACACUUAUAAUUUAUGAAACAUAAAGAUUCUUAAAAUUGAGUAUAUCAUGAAUAAACAACUAUGUUUGUUGUUGUUGAAUUUGAACACUUAUUUUAUCGCAAUUUUCAUUCACAAGAAAUACAAAACCUUCCCAGAUGAAAUAACAAAUUCACGCAUUUAACUUUACGGAAUAGAGACUUGUUGUGUGAAAGUGCAGAACAAAAUUCAAAAUAUUAAGAGAAUAUAGAAAAAGGUCAAAAUGUAUAAAAAAAAUAGAGAAUAUUGUCAUAAAAAGUUUACAAAUGAAGGACCCAAAUCUAGACUUCAAUACCAGUCAACAACACGCAUUUUUUAAAAUAUUAUUCAUGGAUAAUGAUAUCACCAGUAGCCGUUUGUUUGUAUUAAUAACACAAUACAUAAAGUUGACAGAUACAAUUAAAUUGAUUAACAACUUUUCUUAACAAACUGUUUUGUUUUCAUAGAACCUAAUUACAAGUAAACCUGCGAGAAGAUGAAUAAACACCUGUUCUAUCUUUUAUUAUGUAUUACUUUAUGGAAAUAUGGACAAGGUAAGACAUAUAUCAUACUUUUCAUUUUCUCUCAUUAUCUAAUGGCAUAAUAAUUUACCUAUUGUAAAACAUAAUGAUAACAGGAAAAGUCAUGAGAGGUAAAUACAUGUACAUUCAUAUAAGAUUUUUUGACAGAUAUUGUGUACCUAGUUAUUGUAAUGAGAAUGUUCUGUGAGCUAUUUUAAAUGUAUUCAAUCUAAAAUCAUCCCUUUUUUAUAAUAAAUAUCCAUAAACGGUAGUAUAUUUUAAAAGUAUAAGGAAUACUAUAAUGUAUCAAUGCCAGAGAUGUGACACUCAAUGCGGGUGUAAGCCUCGAUUAAUAUCAUACCUCGUGAGUUAAUAAUUCAUUUCAUCGACUUCAUUAACAUUCAAUAAUUGUACAAUGCUAUAUAAAAAACACAUUAACGUUCAAAAUUAUGUAAUUGUUAUAAAGCUUCCGUAUGUAAUACAAGAAAGACAUGCUAUUAUAUUUUAAAUUGAUCAUGUUGAUGUAUACAACAGUUGAGCUGAAAUAAGCUGAAAUUUACAAAAAAUAAUGGCUAUGAAUUUGAGAAUUUCGGACCCUUAGACACGUAAGACGAAACAGGUAUAUCCUUGAAAAACCAGUACUGAAUGUUCCUAAAUGUAUAACUUGUACAAUUCUUUGAUAGCUUUAUACUUUUAUCGAUAUGCAAUCCGAUUGAUUUUUUGUUAAGAAAAACACAUUCUUAUUGGUCUUGCUAUCUUGCCUCAUAGGCAAUGUUUACUGUAAUACAUCAAUAUAUCUCGGGGCAGUCACUGUAUGAAUGUAAAAGCAAGAUUUCCGUCAAUGAGACAGCAAACUGCUCAACAAUUUAUAAACAAGUGCCUGAACAAUAUGUUCUGCAAUAUGAUAAGCAGCAAGGCUUUUCAUACAGGAAUAUACUCACUAGAUAUAUAUCAAACGUGUGUUAAGUCAUUUGUAUGUUAUAUGUUUGUUAUAUGCAUGGUAAAUGUAAAAAAUGAUCCAAGGUAAGAAUUAAAUGGAUUUGUUAUUAUUGCAUAUCAAGAACAAAUAUCAAUCAAUCGGAAUUCCGAUUACUUUAGACGAAUACAAUUCGAAAGUAUAAUUAUGUUUGUCAAAAUGAAAUAAAAAGUAUUCUUAUUAAACAUUCUUAGAUUCAAGAAAAUAAAGAUACAGAAGCUGCUAUUCAUCAGUUUUAUUGUCGAUAAAUCAGUCAAAAAUCGUUUAUGGUGCAUUCAGCAGAUAUAUAACCACAUAUUCGUUCGUAAAUUCAAUUGCAAAUCUUCUGCACUGUACAGUAAGACUACCUGUUUGAUUUAUAUUUUUUUUUGCAGGACAGAACAUAUUGAAUUUGACAUUUUUCCAGCAAAAGUUAUCAUGGAGAAAUGCAUCUAUCUUUUGCUCACAACACGAUGGAGUCCUUGAGAGUAAUACAACAUUAGUAAUGCAAAAUUUCGAAAACAUUUCAACAA
RNAcentral lists this long non-coding RNA (2394 nucleotides) under Mytilus galloprovincialis (Mediterranean mussel). The record is from RNAcentral. Lineage: Eukaryota; Metazoa; Mollusca; Bivalvia; Mytilida; Mytilidae.